This 391-nucleotide unclassified non-coding RNA is filed under the name soil metagenome. RNAcentral's name for it is "partial contains 5.8S ribosomal RNA, internal transcribed spacer 2, and large subunit ribosomal RNA". The stretch from base 1 to 122 matches the Rfam family "5.8S ribosomal RNA", at positions 35 to 154 of the family's 154-position model. The record is from RNAcentral.
GAUGAAGAACGUAGCGAAAUGCGAUACUUGGUGUGAAUUGCAGAAUCCCGUGAACCAUCGAGUCUUUGAACGCAAGUUGCGCCCGAAGCCAUUAGGCCGAGGGCACGCCUGCCUGGGCGUCACACGUCGUUGCCCCCCCAUCUACUCCUUCGGGAUUGCGGGGGGCGGAUGGUGGCCUCCCGUGCGCCUCGCCGCGCGGUUGGCAUAAAUGCCAAGUCCUCGGCGACGCACGCCACGACAAUCGGUGGUUGCGAAACCUCGGUUGCCCGUCGUGUGCGGUCGUCGCGCAUCGAGGGCUCGAAAAAAUUGCCGAGUUCCGGCUCGGCUUUCAACGCGACCCCAGGUCAGGCGGGGUUACCCGCUGAAUUUAAGCAUAUCAAUAAGCGGAGGA